RNAcentral lists this ribosomal RNA (253 nucleotides) under uncultured bacterium. RNAcentral describes it as "partial 16S ribosomal RNA". It matches the Rfam family "Bacterial small subunit ribosomal RNA", at positions 524 to 776 of the family's 1533-position model. The record is from RNAcentral.
UACGUAGGGGGCGAGCGUUGUCCGGAUUUAUUGGGCGUAAAGAGCGUGUAGGCGGCCCGGUAAGUCCGCUGUGGAAAUCCAGGGCUCAACCCUGGGAUGCCGGUGGAUACUGUCGGGCUCGAGUCCGGAAGAGGAGUGUGGAAUUCCUGGUGUAGCGGUGAAAUGCGCAGAUAUCAGGAGGAACACCAAUGGCGAAGGCAGCACUCUGGGACGUGACUGACGCUGAGACGCGAAAGCGUGGGGAGCAAACAGG